GCUGCCAUCGUCUAGUGGCCUAGGACGCCGCCUUCUCAAGGCGGAGACCGCGGGUUCGAAUCCCGCUGGCAGCA
This 74-nucleotide transfer RNA is filed under the name bacterium. RNAcentral's name for it is "tRNA-Glu". It matches the Rfam family "tRNA". Rfam says of the family: Transfer RNA (tRNA) molecules are approximately 80 nucleotides in length. The record is from RNAcentral.